Molecule: small RNA, 94 nt
Filed under: Salmonella enterica
Lineage: Bacteria; Pseudomonadati; Pseudomonadota; Gammaproteobacteria; Enterobacterales; Enterobacteriaceae
Also listed under: 3 other names
Description: partial RtT sRNA
Rfam family: RtT RNA
About the family: This family represents a bacterial cis-regulatory element known as RtT RNA. The exact function of RtT is unknown although it is thought that it may be involved in changing the cellular response in relation to amino acid starvation.
Source: RNAcentral
AGGGUUCGAUUCGAGCGCAGCGAGAAAGCGUUGCCGCAGGCAACGACCCGAAGGGCGAAGCGCGCAGCGCUGAGUCAUCCUUCCCCCACCACCA